GACGAACGCUGGCGGCGGGCCUAACACAUGCAAGUCGAGCGGUCCCUCCGGGGUUGCUGGCUGGAUGGGUAGUAAAGCGUUGAGAUAUACCCUUCUCUACUGCCUAGUUCUUUGAAAUUGGGGGUAAUACCGUAUACGCCCUCUGGGGGUAAGCUUUAUCGGGGAAGGAUUAGCGGGCGGGGGUUUAGGUAGUUGGUGGGGUAAUGGCCUACCAAGCCGACGAUCCGGAGCUGGUUUGAGAGGAUGAGCAGACACACUGGGACUGAGAGACGGCCCGGACUGGUAAGGGAGGCAGAAGGGGGGAAUCUUAGACAAAGGGGGCAAGCGUGAGGUAGCCAGGCCGUGGGAGUGAUGAAGGCCUUAGGGUUGUAAAGCGCCUUAAGCUGGGAAGAUAAUGACGGUACCAGCAGAAGAAGCGCCGGCUAACUACGUG
RNAcentral lists this ribosomal RNA (433 nucleotides) under uncultured bacterium. RNAcentral's name for it is "partial 16S ribosomal RNA". It matches the Rfam family "Bacterial small subunit ribosomal RNA", at positions 28 to 507 of the family's 1533-position model. The record is from RNAcentral.